UCCGGGCUUUGUUUGCGCAGGAUAGGUGGGAGGCGUUGAAGAUUCUCUUGCGGGGGAGUUGGAGCCGUUGGUGAGAUACCACUCUAACAAUGCUAGGAUUCUAACCCUAUACCGUUAUCCGGUUAGGGGACAGUUCCAGGUGGUCAGUUUGACUGGGGCGGUCGCCUCCCAAAAGGUAACGGAGGCGUGCAAAGGUUUCCUCAGGCUGGUCGGAAAUCAGUUGUAGAGUGUAAAGGCAUAAGGAAGCUUGAUUGUUAGACCUACAAGUCGAACAAAGACGAAAGUCGGCCUUAGUGAUCCGACGGUUCCGAGUGGAAGGGCCGUCGCUCAACGGAUAAAAGUUACUCUAGGGAUAACAGGCUGAA
RNAcentral lists this ribosomal RNA (365 nucleotides) under uncultured eukaryote. RNAcentral's name for it is "LSU rRNA". It matches the Rfam family "Bacterial large subunit ribosomal RNA", at positions 2122 to 2486 of the family's 2925-position model. The record is from RNAcentral.